GGCAUAAUUUAAAGUAAAACCUGCUCAAUGAAAAAUAAAUAGCCGCAAUAUACUUGUGGUAAGGUAGCACAAUAACUUGCUUUCUAAUUAAAAGAUAGAAUGAAUGGUUAAACAUUUAUUAAUUGUAUCUACUUUCACAAAUUAAAUUUUAACAAGAGUAAAAAUACUCCAAUUAUAAAGUGGGGCGGCAAGCCCCUAAUAAACUUUAUAUUUAGUUGGGGAAACACAAUCAAAAAACUUUAUUAUAAUAAUUUCACACCUUAAAAUAAAUUAAAGAACAGUUACUAUAGGGAUAAGGGCGCUCUUUUUUUUAAAAGACCUAAUCAAAAAAAAAGUUUACGACCUCUAUGUUGAAUUAAUAUCCUAUAUAACCGCACUGAUUAUUAUAAGGUACCCUGUUCGACUAUUUAAAAAUU
RNAcentral lists this ribosomal RNA (416 nucleotides) under Uthina cf. huifengi Mal356. RNAcentral's name for it is "partial 16S ribosomal RNA". Lineage: Eukaryota; Metazoa; Arthropoda; Arachnida; Araneae; Pholcidae. The record is from RNAcentral.